CGGCGUGNNUAUACAUGCAAGUCAAGCGAACUGAUUCGAAGCUUGCUUCUAUGACGUUAGCGGGGAAGGGUGAGUAACACGUGGGCAACCUGCCUGUAAGACUGGGAUAACUUCGGGAAACCGAAGCUAAUACCGGAUAGGAUCUUCUCCUUCAUGGGAGAUGAUUGAAAGAUCCCCUUCGGCUAUCACUUACAGAUGGGCCCGCGGUGCCUUAGCUAGUUGGUGAGGCUACGGCUCACC
Molecule: ribosomal RNA, 240 nt
Filed under: Priestia megaterium
Lineage: Bacteria; Bacillati; Bacillota; Bacilli; Caryophanales; Bacillaceae
Description: Bacillus megaterium partial 16S ribosomal RNA
Rfam family: Bacterial small subunit ribosomal RNA
Source: RNAcentral